This 196-nucleotide unclassified non-coding RNA is filed under the name uncultured fungus. RNAcentral's name for it is "sequence contains ITS1, 5.8S rRNA gene". Lineage: Eukaryota; Fungi. The record is from RNAcentral.
AAAGUUUUAGUUAUACUCACGUAUAUACUUUAAUAAACCCAUUCCGAGUACCUUACCCGUUGCUUCCGUGGAGCAGGACCUCGGUCCGCUCUGACUAUGCCCUUGCGGCGUACGAUGAGUAGUCUUCACGGGAGGUAUACAUUAAACUCUUGCAUUUCCAUGUCAUCUGUCUGAAUACUGUUUAUAACAAAUGUUA